UGAAAUGUUACUGAGACAGUCAUGUUUCUGGAACAGCGCAGGAUGUAGGUCAGCCUUGGCUGUGUCCUACAGGUGGGAGGAUCAAGGCAACACAUCCUGGGCAUUUUCAGGGAUUACAGGCUGGCAGCUGCUGACACCGAUGUGCAGCACAGGGAGCAGUUGGGCUGUGCAGUGUUUGCCUCCAGUGAGUGCCCCUGUUGUCUCCUUGGAGUUGCUGCUGCAUCCUGAAAAAACAUUACUGAGACACCACUGAUGCUGCUUUGCAGGAGGAUGUUCUCAGGACUCUGGCACACAAGCAUUAACAUUUGGCACCUGAGAGAACAGCCCCAUUUCAACUACCAGACAGUUCAGGGGAAGCACUGGACUCGGUCUCAAAGCAGUAGGGUACAGCUGACAAGCUCUCUUGGACCACUUCACCUCCUGCUCUCAGAACAGCAAUCAAAUGAGCCAGAGGGCAACUUUAGGAAAAUAUUUUCUCUAGUAGCAGUAACAUCUGUCUCCUUGGCAGCCUGCUCUGGCAGUUGUGUUGGAAGCUGUGGGUUUGCCCCUGGCCCUGCCAUGUAUUUACAUUGCUGAGAGGUUAUCCUGAGCUCUGGUGGAUCCUGUUACCUGAUUUUCUUUUGUUCUGUCAUUUUCUCUCCCUGAUGCUUUGGCUGCAAAAGUAUUUCUGGGUACAUGUAAAGUGAAAAUUACGUGAGUGUGCAGUAUGAGAUCAAAGGUAUUAAUUUGAAAGUAUUAAGUGAUAAAUUUCUUUCUGAUUAGAGAUUCAGCUUUUCUGAUCUGUUUUAGCUGCAUUUUCUUGGCUUCAGCCUAGGCAAUGUCACCAUUGCUGUCUGAACUUUUGAAGGUGCUGUUCUCUACACUUGUGUCUUCCACUUGUAUCAAACUCUCUUUGGUGAUAAUAUUUCUCCU
Long non-coding RNA from Cyanistes caeruleus (blue tit), 912 nucleotides. RefSeq lists it as uncharacterized. The record is from RefSeq and is a predicted model, not a curated record. Lineage: Eukaryota; Metazoa; Chordata; Aves; Passeriformes; Paridae.